GACGAACGCUGGCGGCGUGCUUAACACAUGCCAGUCGAACGGAAAGGCCCUGCUUGCCGGGUACUCGAGUGGCGAACGGGUGAGUAACACGUGGGUGAUCUGCCCUGCACUUCGGGAUAAGCCUGGGAAACUGGGUCUAAUACCGGAUAGGAGCCAUUUUUAGUGUGAUGGUUGGAAAGUUUUUUCGGUGUAGGAUGAGCUCGCGGCCUAUCAGCUUGUUGGUGGGGUAAUGGCCUACCAAGGCGGCGACGGGUAGCCGGCCUGAGAGGGUGGACGGCCACAUUGGGACUGAGAUACGGCCCAGACUCCUACGGGAGGCAGCAGUGGGGAAUAUUGCACAAUGGGCGCAAGCCUGAUGCAGCGACGCCGCGUGGGGGAUGACGGCCUUCGGGUUGUAAACUCCUUUCGCUAGGGACGGAGCUUUUUGUGACGGUACCUAGAUAAGAAGCACCGGCUAACUACGUG
Molecule: ribosomal RNA, 465 nt
Filed under: uncultured bacterium
Lineage: Bacteria
Description: partial 16S ribosomal RNA
Rfam family: Bacterial small subunit ribosomal RNA
Source: RNAcentral